Molecule: non-coding RNA, 1165 nt
Organism: Myodes glareolus (Bank vole)
Lineage: Eukaryota; Metazoa; Chordata; Mammalia; Rodentia; Cricetidae
Source: RefSeq, a predicted model, not a curated record
GAGUACCCCAUUUGCAACAGGAUGAGGAGUCUCUGACCUCCCACCUGGGCUCCUUGGCAUCUGCACUUCUGAAAGUGGUCAGUGCAGUCCAACACCAGACCUGAGGAGAUCCUGAAUAGGAGAAGUUUUAUUAAGAGCCCAAUGUGUAUACAAAGAAAUCAAGUGGACCGGAAGAAAAGAUACUCAACAGGAGACCAGUGGAUGGUGUUUCUUCCUGAAUAAAGGACCUGUACUCCCUUCCUUUAUCAGAGGACAGAUGAUCACCAGACUCUACCCGGCUACCCAGCUGCAGGCAUCUAUAACUGCUGAGUGACUCAGGUCCAGAUAUUAUUCCCAGAUUGAAGUAUCCCCUCUCUCUGGGGUCCAACAGUAGCCUGGUCUUCCUUGCCAACAUUUUCCUAAAUCUGGCUAAGGUCCUAAAUAUUGAUUGGAAACUACAUAUAGGACACAAAGCUCAGGGAAGACAGGAAGGUUAAAUAGAAAGGAAACCUUUUCUAUGCAUGUCCUUGAGACUGGUGAAUACUGGACCAAUUCUGUGUCUUUUUCUGUCCUACGGGAGAGAUGAAUUUUGUAUUAUGAAGCUCCUAAGACAGAAAUGACUAAUCAUUCUUUCCCUAUGUCCUAGCAGCUCCUGCGACAGUGACAGGGAAUAUUCAUCAGACAGUUUGUGAGGCUGCAUGUUUGUCUGGAACCUUCCCACAAGUUCCAGCCUGGCAACCUUGUGUGGAUAAAGAGAUCCUGAUAGGGACCCUUGAGCAAAUACGAAAAAUUCCAUACCCUGUGGUCCUCACACUGGUACAGCAUCACUGGUGUACCCCCUGCACACAGCACACCCAGCAUAGGUAGGCUAUACAUCAUAAGGAUAGAGGGGUCAUCACCAGGUCCUCUGACUCCCUAAAGACAAGACUGACAUGGGCCCUAUAAUUACAGUUGGUCUAGUUUCUCUUUUUUUUUUUUUUGUCAUCAGUGAAAGUGCCCCAACCCUUCUUAAGCCAGAAACUUAUAGGGAUUAAGGAUGACUGGAACCAGGCAACUCAUAGACAGUGUAUCCACUGAGACCCAACCACCCACUGUCCUGAUGGAGUUUUGUAAAAUAUUUCACCUAGAUGCUAUUGGGAGAUGGUUUGCUUCGUCAUGAAAAGCAACGACUCCCCAGCGACUGUGG